UGAGGAAUAUUGGUCAAUGGACGCAAGUCUGAACCAGCCAAGUAGCGUGCAGGAUGACGGCCCUAUGGGUUGUAAACUGCUUUUAUAUGGGGAUAAAGUGGGGAACGUGUUCCCUUUUGUAGGUACCAUAUGAAUAAGGACCGGCUAAUUCCGUGCCAGCAGCCGCGGUAAUACGGAUGGUUCGGGCGUUAUCCGGUUUUAUUGGGUUUAAAGGGAGCGUAGGCCGUUUGGUAAGCGUGUUGUGAAAUGUAGGAGCUCAACUUCUAGAUUGCAGCGCGAACUGUCAGACUUGAGUGCGCACAACGUAGGCGGAAUUCAUGGUGUAGCGGUGAAAUGCUUAGAUAUCAUGACGAACUCCGAUUGAGAAGGCAGCUUACGGGAGCGAAACUGACGCUGAAGCUCGAAGGUGCGGGUAUCGAACAGG
RNAcentral lists this ribosomal RNA (424 nucleotides) under Verrucomicrobiota bacterium. RNAcentral describes it as "Verrucomicrobia bacterium partial 16S ribosomal RNA". It matches the Rfam family "Bacterial small subunit ribosomal RNA", at positions 355 to 776 of the family's 1533-position model. Lineage: Bacteria; Pseudomonadati; Verrucomicrobiota. The record is from RNAcentral.